CUCACCCUGACUGUACGUGGGUGGGUGCGUGUUUUGAGCCAACACGGUUUCCAUGGGAGCUUCGCUCUAACGAGUUGAGCUAUGCGGCGGGCCGCAGAUGCUCACAGGCGGGCACCCACCUGCUAUCGCAGGUUCGAAACUGGCCCAUCCACGGCAGAACAGGGCACCA
RNAcentral lists this non-coding RNA (169 nucleotides) under Chloroflexales bacterium ZM16-3. RNAcentral describes it as "6S / SsrS RNA". It matches the Rfam family "6S / SsrS RNA". From Rfam's summary of the family: E. coli 6S RNA was the first non coding RNA to be sequenced, but its function was unknown until recently. It consists of 184 nucleotides that fold into an extended hairpin structure with a large single-stranded internal bulge. The 6S RNA specifically associates with RNA polymerase holoenzyme containing the sigma70 specificity factor. Lineage: Bacteria; Bacillati; Chloroflexota; Chloroflexia; Chloroflexales. The record is from Rfam by way of RNAcentral.